RNAcentral lists this ribosomal RNA (1557 nucleotides) under Staphylococcus aureus. RNAcentral's name for it is "16S ribosomal RNA". It matches the Rfam family "Bacterial small subunit ribosomal RNA". Lineage: Bacteria; Bacillati; Bacillota; Bacilli; Caryophanales; Staphylococcaceae. The record is from RNAcentral.
UUUUAUGGAGAGUUUGAUCCUGGCUCAGGAUGAACGCUGGCGGCGUGCCUAAUACAUGCAAGUCGAGCGAACGGACGAGAAGCUUGCUUCUCUGAUGUUAGCGGCGGACGGGUGAGUAACACGUGGAUAACCUACCUAUAAGACUGGGAUAACUUCGGGAAACCGGAGCUAAUACCGGAUAAUAUUUUGAACCGCAUGGUUCAAAAGUGAAAGACGGUCUUGCUGUCACUUAUAGAUGGAUCCGCGCUGCAUUAGCUAGUUGGUAAGGUAACGGCUUACCAAGGCAACGAUGCAUAGCCGACCUGAGAGGGUGAUCGGCCACACUGGAACUGAGACACGGUCCAGACUCCUACGGGAGGCAGCAGUAGGGAAUCUUCCGCAAUGGGCGAAAGCCUGACGGAGCAACGCCGCGUGAGUGAUGAAGGUCUUCGGAUCGUAAAACUCUGUUAUUAGGGAAGAACAUAUGUGUAAGUAACUGUGCACAUAUUGACGGUACCUAAUCAGAAAGCCACGGCUAACUACGUGCCAGCAGCCGCGGUAAUACGUAGGUGGCAAGCGUUAUCCGGAAUUAUUGGGCGUAAAGCGCGCGUAGGCGGUUUUUUAAGUCUGAUGUGAAAGCCCACGGCUCAACCGUGGAGGGUCAUUGGAAACUGGAAAACUUGAGUGCAGAAGAGGAAAGUGGAAUUCCAUGUGUAGCGGUGAAAUGCGCAGAGAUAUGGAGGAACACCAGUGGCGAAGGCGACUUUCUGGUCUGUAACUGACGCUGAUGUGCGAAAGCGUGGGGAUCAAACAGGAUUAGAUACCCUGGUAGUCCACGCCGUAAACGAUGAGUGCUAAGUGUUAGGGGGUUUCCGCCCCUUAGUGCUGCAGCUAACGCAUUAAGCACUCCGCCUGGGGAGUACGACCGCAAGGUUGAAACUCAAAGGAAUUGACGGGGACCCGCACAAGCGGUGGAGCAUGUGGUUUAAUUCGAAGCAACGCGAAGAACCUUACCAAAUCUUGACAUCCUUUGACAACUCUAGAGAUAGAGCCUUCCCCUUCGGGGGACAAAGUGACAGGUGGUGCAUGGUUGUCGUCAGCUCGUGUCGUGAGAUGUUGGGUUAAGUCCCGCAACGAGCGCAACCCUUAAGCUUAGUUGCCAUCAUUAAGUUGGGCACUCUAAGUUGACUGCCGGUGACAAACCGGAGGAAGGUGGGGAUGACGUCAAAUCAUCAUGCCCCUUAUGAUUUGGGCUACACACGUGCUACAAUGGACAAUACAAAGGGCAGCGAAACCGCGAGGUCAAGCAAAUCCCAUAAAGUUGUUCUCAGUUCGGAUUGUAGUCUGCAACUCGACUACAUGAAGCUGGAAUCGCUAGUAAUCGUAGAUCAGCAUGCUACGGUGAAUACGUUCCCGGGUCUUGUACACACCGCCCGUCACACCACGAGAGUUUGUAACACCCGAAGCCGGUGGAGUAACCUUUUAGGAGCUAGCCGUCGAAGGUGGGACAAAUGAUUGGGGUGAAGUCGUAACAAGGUAGCCGUAUCGGAAGGUGCGGCUGGAUCACCUCCUUUCUAA